This 23-nucleotide non-coding RNA is filed under the name Xenopus tropicalis (tropical clawed frog). The record is from RNAcentral. RNAcentral also lists the same sequence under 9 other names. Lineage: Eukaryota; Metazoa; Chordata; Amphibia; Anura; Pipidae.
UCGGUUAUCAUGGUACCGGUGCU